GCGAGUAUAGUUAAGUUGGUAUAACCUCUACCUUCCAAGUAGAUAUGAUCAGUUCGAGUCUGAUUACUCGUA
Transfer RNA from Scleroderma citrinum Foug A, 72 nucleotides. It matches the Rfam family "tRNA". Rfam says of the family: Transfer RNA (tRNA) molecules are approximately 80 nucleotides in length. Their secondary structure includes four short double-helical elements and three loops (D, anti-codon, and T loops). Further hydrogen bonds mediate the characteristic L-shaped molecular structure. tRNAs have two regions of fundamental functional importance: the anti-codon, which is responsible for specific mRNA codon recognition, and the 3' end, to which the tRNAs corresponding amino acid is attached (by aminoacyl-tRNA synthetases). tRNAs cope with the degeneracy of the genetic code in two manners: having more than one tRNA (with a specific anti-codon) for a particular amino acid; and 'wobble' base-pairing, i.e. permitting non-standard base-pairing at the 3rd anti-codon position. The record is from Rfam. Lineage: Eukaryota; Fungi; Basidiomycota; Agaricomycetes; Boletales; Sclerodermataceae.